GCGAAGGUAGCGCAAUCACUUGUCUUUUAAAUGGAGACCUGUAUGAAUGGCACGACGAGGGCUUAACUGUCUCCUUUUUCCAGUCAAUGAAAUUGAUCUUCCCGUGCAGAAGCGGGAAUAAUAUCAUAAGACGAGAAGACCCUGUGGAGCUUUAGACACUAAAUCAGCCCUUGUCCAAAAUCCCAAUUAAAGGAAUGAACACUAGAGCGAGACCUGAUCUAAUGUCUUCGGUUGGGGCGACCUUGGGGAAAGAAAAAUCCCCCAUGCGGAACGGAAAUACCAUGUUUCCAAAACUAAGAGAGACCACUCAAAGUAUCAAAAAUUUUGACCAACUAUAUGAUCCGGCUUAACGCCGAUCAACGGACCGAGUUACCCCA
Molecule: ribosomal RNA, 377 nt
Filed under: Amphiprion ephippium (saddle anemonefish)
Lineage: Eukaryota; Metazoa; Chordata; Actinopteri; Pomacentridae
Description: partial 16S rRNA
Rfam family: Bacterial large subunit ribosomal RNA
Source: RNAcentral